GGGUGAUUCGUAUAGUGGUAUUACGCUGGAUUCCAAACCCAGUCACCGGAGUUCGAUUCUUCGAUUGCCCG
Molecule: transfer RNA, 71 nt
Filed under: Salmonella phage SE131
Lineage: Duplodnaviria; Heunggongvirae; Uroviricota; Caudoviricetes; Grimontviridae
Also listed under: 1 other name
Rfam family: tRNA
About the family: Transfer RNA (tRNA) molecules are approximately 80 nucleotides in length. Their secondary structure includes four short double-helical elements and three loops (D, anti-codon, and T loops). Further hydrogen bonds mediate the characteristic L-shaped molecular structure. tRNAs have two regions of fundamental functional importance: the anti-codon, which is responsible for specific mRNA codon recognition, and the 3' end, to which the tRNAs corresponding amino acid is attached (by aminoacyl-tRNA synthetases). tRNAs cope with the degeneracy of the genetic code in two manners: having more than one tRNA (with a specific anti-codon) for a particular amino acid; and 'wobble' base-pairing, i.e. permitting non-standard base-pairing at the 3rd anti-codon position.
Source: Rfam by way of RNAcentral